AGAGUUUGAUUAUGGCUCAGGACGAACGCUGGCGGCGUGCUUAACACAUGCAAGUCGAACGAGAAUCUGUGGAACGAGGAUUCGUCCAAGUGAAGCAGAGGACAGUGGCGGACGGGUGAGUAACGCGUGAGGAACCUGCCUUUCAGAGGGGGACAACAGUUGGAAACGACUGCUAAUACCGCAUAACACAUGGGUGUCGCAUGGCACUGAUGUCAAAGAUUUAUCGCUGAAAGAUGGCCUCGCGUCUGAUUAGCUAGUUGGUGAGGUAACGGCCCACCAAGGCGACGAUCAGUAGCCGGACUGAGAGGUUGACCGGCCACAUUGGGACUGAGAUACGGCCCAG
RNAcentral lists this ribosomal RNA (343 nucleotides) under uncultured bacterium. RNAcentral's name for it is "bacterial SSU rRNA". It matches the Rfam family "Bacterial small subunit ribosomal RNA", at positions 8 to 334 of the family's 1533-position model. The record is from RNAcentral.